UAUUUAUUGGAUGUUGAUCAUCACAUGUUGCGUUUUUAUUGAACGUUAAUUUUGUGCACCUAAUUAAGGUCAAUCUCCAAUAAAAGCACGACCCGUGACGAUCAACAUCCAAUAAAAAUGUGACAUGUGACGGUCAAGACAA
Non-coding RNA from Glycine soja, 142 nucleotides. The record is from Rfam. NCBI's taxonomy places the organism in Eukaryota, Viridiplantae, Streptophyta, Magnoliopsida, Fabales, Fabaceae.